GUUUUUAUUACCUUCCGUUUUUAUUACUUUCUGUUUUACUUUUUUUUUUUUUUUUUUUUGUAGGUAUGCUGCUGAUGUUAUGCGUCUAUUACAACUAUAUAAUUUUAAAAUAUUAUUUUUAUUCUUUGUUUUGGGCUUUCAUUGUCUCUAUUCCUUUACAUCAUGUAAAAGAAAAAUUAUUAGUGUUUUUAAAAGUAAAAUUUAUAAAAAAAAAAAAAAAAAAAUAAAUAAUAUAAAAAACAUAAAAAACAUAAAAAACAUAAAAAAAAAAAUUUAUAAAUUAAGGUUUAAGGAAUAUUUAGAACAUAGUAGUACUAAAAAUGAUAAUAUAUUUAAAAAACAAAAUCGAAAUACUGUCAGUAAUAGAAAACGUUCUAGUAGCAUUGCUACUUAUACGAAAGGCUUAAAUACGCCUUCGUCAUUUAUAAUGGAUAAUAAAAUGAAAUUAAAUAAAAGUAUGGGUGGUAACUUGAACAGUAGCAGAAGUGACAAUACAUCUAACGAGUUGUAUAAUAAAAGAAAAAAUUGUACCAUAAUAAAAAAAAAACCUUUCGUUUUAGUAAAUAAUAAAGAGAUAAGACAAAAAGGGAGCAUGAAAAAAUUUAUACUAAUGUCUGCUUUAAAAUCUUUUUUUUAUAAAAUUAUAACAAAUAUUAAAAACGAAUUAAAUAUAUAUAGAUAUAUACUAUUUUUAAUUAUAAAACCGAUAUAUAAAGAAAAAUGUGGAAAAGAUAAUAAUAUGAAUAUAACUACCAGUACUUCUAGUAUUAUUAAUAAUAAUAAUUAUAAUGCUAAUAAUAAUGUUAGUAGUAAAUGUAUAGAUAAUUAUGAAACAAAAAACAUGAGUGAAAUUUAUUUUUUAAUAUUACAUAGACUUAUAUUUUUUUAUAUUUUAAAACGUUUUUUUUAUCAAUAUAGAGAUUUCCUACUAAACUUUUUAAUUUUUUUUAUUUAUAUUUUUGUUUUGUAUAAAAUCAUCAAGACAAUAUGGAUAACAUAUAUAUAUAAAAUAUGUAAAAAAUAUUAUAAUAAAUAUAAACAAAAUAUCUCAUUAGAUUAUACUUAUAUAUAUAAACAUUAUAUGAACAACAUUUUAACCAUAUUAAUAAUAAUAUUAGCUAUAAUUAUAUUUGCUUCCAUUUUUGUCUUUUUUGUUAUUAAUAUAUAUGGAGAGUCUGUAUAUAUAAUUAACUCUUUUAAUAAUUAUGUUUCGUCCAAUUUUAGAAAUGCACCCAUAAUACAAAAUUUUAAAAAAUUUUACAAAACAACGGGAAAAAGUGAUAUAGAAAAUUUGUACGAGUUCGUGAGCCUAAACAAUAUACCAUUUCUGAGCAACAAAACUAUAUUAUCUAUAUCUACCCACUUAAAAAGAGCAAUAGAUAUUUAUGAAAAUAUAUACUCUGAUAGUUUUAUGAAAAAUAAUUGGAGCACUAUAAACAAGUGUUGUUUAAUUUUGCUUAUUGAAAGAUUUUCAGUUGUUAAAGAAAACCGACUUAGUAAAAUAAAACAAUAUAUACUUUCUAUGAGAGAAAAAAAACAACUUCCUUCUAAAUUGAAUAUUUAUAAUAAUAUAAAAAAUAAUUAUGAACAUUGUGAUAUUAAAAAAUGUUUAACCAAAAAGGAAAAAGAAAAUGAUUUUUUUUUUAGUGUUAAAAAUUGGAUUCAUUCUAUAUUAAAACAUUAUUUUUUUUCAAAAAAUAAAGGAGCUUAUUUUUUUAAUGAAAAAAAUGAAAAGGAUCAGAUAAAUAGUAAUCUAAUUAUUAAAGAAAUUUCAAAAGAAAAAAAAAAAAAUUUAACAAAUGUUAAUAUGUCACAUAUUAAUCAUGAUAGUAUGAACAAUAAUGUUACACUUAAAGUAUUACACAAAGAACUUUGUUGUGUUCAUCAAAAUAAUUUUUUAAAUUUUAAAAAAUGUAUUGCUAUUAAUAUUAACUGUCAUACAAUUAAUAACAGAAAAACGACAAAUGAUGUCAUUGACAUGGUUCAUACUGUAACACAUGAUAAAGUAAGUGAUAUAACACACGAUAUAACAAUAAAGAAUAAUAUAGCAGUAGUAAAUGACAGAACAAUAACACAUGAUAUACAGGGUAAUGUAUCUAAAUAUGUUGACGAAAUGGAUGGUAUAAAAUAUAAACAAAAUUUAUUAAACAAAAGAGAAUUUGAUAAAUCAGUGAGUAAAAACAUGAAAUUAAAUGUUGAGAAAAAAAACAUUAACAAUACUGAUAAAUCAUCAAAAGAAAAGAAUUUAAAAAUUCGAGAAUUUAUAAAUUAUAUUAAUAGCAUAUUUUUAUCUUUAAAAAAAAUUGAAGACAUUGGUAAAUUAACUAAAUAUCUAGUAUUUAAUAAUAGUUUUGGUUUAUUAAAAAUAAUGAUAUUUUUUGUUUUAAUUUUUUUUAAUUUUUUUAUGUUUACUUUCGAUGCUAUAAUACAAGGUAUUAUUUUUUUUACAGCAUUAUAUUAUUUAAUAUUAUCAAAAAAAUCAGUAUUAAAUUUUUUAAAAGAUUUAUUAUUAGUAGUAGAUCCAUCUAGUAUUUUUUUUUAUAAUAUAACCCAAAAUUUAAAAGCAAUUAUUAUAUGUACAUUAAAAAAAAUAUAUUUUUAUGCUAUGUACAUAUGGUUAAUUUUUUCUUUUUUUCAAUUUCCAAUUAUAUAUGUACCUACUUUAAUGAGUAUUAUUUUGUCAUUAAUUCCUGUCAUAUCUCCCGAAAUAUUAAUUCUUAUUAUUAUAAUAGAUUUAUGGAUUAUACAGAAAAAAAAAUAUUAUCUUUCAUUUUAUUUACUAUCAACUGUUUUAUUUAUUUAUAUUUUACUACUACUAUAUAUACUGAAAUACCCCAUACUCAUGCAUGGCUAGUGUCACUGUCUGUAUUUUUAUCUAUUACUACAUUCGGUUCUAAAGGAUUGAUAUUAGGGCCACUAAUCGGAUCCAUUCCUAUCAUACUACAUCAGGCAGCCAUAAAUAAAAACAAAUAUAUUAAAAUGAAUACUAAAGCA
Molecule: long non-coding RNA, 2994 nt
Organism: Piliocolobus tephrosceles (Ugandan red Colobus)
Lineage: Eukaryota; Metazoa; Chordata; Mammalia; Primates; Cercopithecidae
Source: Ensembl